UAAGCAGAAGCCAAUAAUAGGCGUUUAACUGUUAAUUAUUUCUAAGCCACUAAACGUGGCCUGCUUAA
This 68-nucleotide transfer RNA is filed under the name Scoloplos cf. armiger CB-2006. RNAcentral's name for it is "tRNA-Asn". Lineage: Eukaryota; Metazoa; Annelida; Polychaeta; Orbiniidae. The record is from RNAcentral.